ACGAACGUUGGCGGCGUGGAUUAGGCAUGCAAGUCGAGGGAGGCCAGCGGGUAGCAAUAUCUGCUGAGUCGACCGGCGUAAGGGGCAGUAAUGCGUGGGUAACGUACCCUCCGGUUCGGGACACUCGGGUAAUACCGGUAAAUACCGGAUAAUGUAGGCAACUACCAAAGAUUUAUCGCCGGGGGAGCGGCUCACGUCGUAUUAGCUUGUUGGCGGGGUAACGGCCCACCAAGGCGAAGAUGCGUAGCGGGUGUGAGAGCAUGACCCGCGCCACUGGCACUGAGACACUGGCCAGACACCUACGGGUGGCUGCAGUCGAGGAUCUUCGGCAAUGAGCGCAAGCUUGACCGAGCGACGCCGCGUGCGGGAUGAAGGCCUUCGGGUUGUAAACCGCUUUAGGAGGGGAGGAAGCCGCAAGGUUGACCUAUCCUCAAAAUAAGCACGGGCUAAGUUCGU
RNAcentral lists this ribosomal RNA (456 nucleotides) under uncultured bacterium. Its description in RNAcentral is "bacterial SSU rRNA". It matches the Rfam family "Bacterial small subunit ribosomal RNA", at positions 29 to 506 of the family's 1533-position model. The record is from RNAcentral.